Molecule: non-coding RNA, 117 nt
Organism: Klebsiella pneumoniae ISC21
Lineage: Bacteria; Pseudomonadati; Pseudomonadota; Gammaproteobacteria; Enterobacterales; Enterobacteriaceae
Source: Rfam
AGGGGUCGCUGAAUUAGAGAUCGGCACCCUUUCUUUCUUUUAAUUUUUGGAGUUAUAAAAAUGUCUCUAAGCGUUGAAGCUAAAGCAAAAAUCGUUUCUGAGUUUGGUCGUGGCGAA